UGGGGAAUUUUGGACAAUGGGGGAAACCCUGAUCCAGCCAUGCCGCGUGAGUGAAGAAGGCCUUCGGGUUGUAAAGCUCUUUUGGCCGGAAAGAAAAGGCCACGGAUAACACCCGUGGUUCUUGACGGUACCGGCAGAAUAAGCACCGGCUAACUACGUGCCAGCAGCCGCGGUAAUACGUAGGGUGCGAGCGUUAAUCGGAAUUACUGGGCGUAAAGCGUGCGUAGGCGGUCCUCCAAGUCCGCUGUGAAAGCCCCGGGCUUAACCUGGGAAUUGCAGUGGAAACUAUGGGACUUGAAUCUGGCAGAGGGGGGUGGAAUGCCACGUGUAGCAGUGAAAUGCGUAGAGAUGUGGCGGAACACCGAUGGCGAAGGCAGCCCCCUGGGCUGAGAUUGACGCUCAGGCACGAAAGCGUGGGGAGCAAACAGGAUUAGAUACCCUGGUAGUCCACGCCCUAAACGAUGAACACUCGAUGUUGGCGAUAUACGGUCAGCGUCUAAGCGAAAGCGUUAAGUGUUCCACCUGGGGAGUACGCCCGCAAGGGUGA
RNAcentral lists this ribosomal RNA (547 nucleotides) under uncultured beta proteobacterium. Its description in RNAcentral is "bacterial SSU rRNA". It matches the Rfam family "Bacterial small subunit ribosomal RNA", at positions 355 to 897 of the family's 1533-position model. Lineage: Bacteria; Pseudomonadati; Pseudomonadota; Betaproteobacteria. The record is from RNAcentral.